GCGAGCGUAGCUCAGGUGGUUAGAGCACCCCACUGAUAAUGGGGAGGUCGGAAGUUCAACUCUUCCCGCUCGCA
RNAcentral lists this transfer RNA (74 nucleotides) under Candidatus Tayloriibacteriota bacterium. Its description in RNAcentral is "Candidatus Taylorbacteria bacterium (sediment metagenome) tRNA-Ile". It matches the Rfam family "tRNA". From Rfam's summary of the family: Transfer RNA (tRNA) molecules are approximately 80 nucleotides in length. Their secondary structure includes four short double-helical elements and three loops (D, anti-codon, and T loops). Lineage: Bacteria; Candidatus Tayloriibacteriota. The record is from RNAcentral.